RNAcentral lists this ribosomal RNA (497 nucleotides) under uncultured bacterium. RNAcentral's name for it is "partial 16S ribosomal RNA". It matches the Rfam family "Bacterial small subunit ribosomal RNA", at positions 28 to 507 of the family's 1533-position model. The record is from RNAcentral.
GACGAACGCUGGCGGCGUGCCUAAUACAUGCAAGUCGAGCGCUGAAGCUUUGUACUUGUGCCAUCUGGAUGUGCAGCGCACGUGUGAGUAACGCGUGGGUCAUCUGCCUUUGAUCGGGGGACAACAUGCGGAAACGAAUGCUAAUACCGCAUAAAAACCUUAAACACGAGGUUUAUGUUUGAAAGAUGCAAUUUCAUCACUCAAAGAUGACUCCGCGUUGUAUUGGCUAGUUGGUGAGGUAAAGGCUCACCAAGGCGAUGAUGCAGAGCCGACCUGAGAAGGUGAGCAGCCACACUGGGACUGGGACAGGGCCCAAACUCCGACGGGAGGCAGCAGUAGGGAAUCGUCGGCAAGGGACGAAAGUCUGACCGAGCAACGCCGAGGGCGUGAGGAGGAAUGUCGGAUCGUAGAUCUCUGUCGGUAGGUAAGAACGUUGGUGAGACUGGAAAGCUCAUCGAGUGACGGUAACGACCCAGAAAGGAACGGCUAACUACGUG